GGGCUGUUAGCUCAACGGCAGAGCGCAUGACUCUUAAUCAUGAGGUUUAGGUUCGAUUCCUAGGCGGCCCC
RNAcentral lists this transfer RNA (71 nucleotides) under bacterium. Its description in RNAcentral is "tRNA-Lys". It matches the Rfam family "tRNA". From Rfam's summary of the family: Transfer RNA (tRNA) molecules are approximately 80 nucleotides in length. Their secondary structure includes four short double-helical elements and three loops (D, anti-codon, and T loops). The record is from RNAcentral.